CACCCAGUGUAAGAGCUCAUUUUUUAAAGCCUUUUCUUCGUGGUCCCUCAGUGCUCCUGGGGAUGUGUCUGGCUUUUCCUGAAGCUGUUUUUAAGCCACUUGUCUAUGUUUUUCUAUCACCUAUAUUCAUAAUCAUGCACAAAACAUCCAGUGAAAUCAUUUUCACCCACAUAGCUCAAAUUCUCAGAUUCCUGAGUGGCCACAGCUUUGCUGUUGUUUUAGGAGGCGGCAUGUGUCUGCCUGUGUUUGGAGAUCUCAGGCAUUUCAGCUGUCUGCUUCGUAAGAACCCCAAAGACCUCUUACACAAAACUGUCUGAAAUGAAUGGUGACAGUUACACUUACCAGCUACAGCAAACUUUACCCAACCUGUAAAAACGUCUAUGCAAAUGCCAAGUGUUCAUACAUUCUUUUUUUAGCAAGCUAUGUUAGCCACGUUUCUCAGUGAGUUAUGCGUUGAUCUGAAACUUCCUUUUUUUGUGUGCUUGUUUAUCCAGCAGAUACGUUAUCUGCUUGACACUUUACUAAUACAAAUACCAUUCAACAGCGGUUUUCAAUCAAAGAUAGAAAAUGUUCCCUCUCUUUACAUUAUUUUUAGAACACUGAUGUUUACUAAAAGUUUAAUAUUAAUCUCCUCUGUUAAAACUAAGAUCAAUUUGUCAGAAGAUGAUUUAACACUUGUGGAGCACUCAUGUUGUUUCCCUGAGCUAGUUUAGUUUUUGUAUAUCCAUUGACCUCUCUGUUGCAGGAUGUGACUCAUUUAUUCUAAACCUUUAAUUCAGGCUUCAAAUCCUUCCCUAAUCAUAAGACAUUGCUUAUGGUAUGAACAAGGUUAUGCCAAGGUUCCUUAAUGCUUUAGUUAGAGGCAGGGGGUGGGUAGCGGCUAGAUGAGACAGCCUGCCAGCUGGUGAAAGAACAGUCAAAGGAAUGAGAGUAAUUUUCACUUGUGAAUUUUUGAAUUACAGGUUUAUUUAUUCUUCGCAGAACGCUGAGUUGGUCGGGUUUGCUAUGAAAGCCUUUCUCCAAGCCUUUGGAGACCACACGUCUCAACAACGCAAAAACUUUGGAAGAAGACAGGCUUUUACUUUUCAAAAAGACAAGAGUGUUUCUCACAAACUGGGGGCUUGUCCGGGAUCCUGUUGCCUUCUGGGGAACCCUGUUACCACUGCAGCAGGAAGGCGUGCUCCGCUGAUUUCACCGGUCCUGUGCCUUGGUGAUGCGGAGAGCUGAUGAAGGAACUGAGACUGGUUAAGAAGGCAGGAUUGGUGAAGAGCUGGGGAAGAAAGGAAGGUAGGCACUCCAGUUUUGAGAAUUGACCUGGUAACUCUGCACAGACCAAGGUAAGAAAUAUUAAAUAUUGCCUUGGGGGUCAGGUAAGACUCUUGUGUGACGUGAUUGAGACGUAUUUCUGUAGGAAGCGAGUGUGGAGAACCCGACACGUGGUUCUGCAGCUCAGCGAGGGGCGAGGCCAGGGGCAGAAGAAGUGAAAGGACCCGUCCAUUAGGAUCAUUAGCUCAAACCCCAACCUUGGAAUUCCCGAUCCAUCCAUUCCGAGCAGGAGAUUGGGUUUUGAUACGAGCGUGGAGGGAAUUGAAACUGCAACCUGAGUGGGACGGACCGUUCCAGCUUUUCUCCACUCACCUUCCUGAUCUAGCGCUUCAAUUUGCCAUGCUGAGCCAAGGCCACGUGGGUUAGA
Molecule: long non-coding RNA, 1693 nt
Organism: Cygnus olor (mute swan)
Lineage: Eukaryota; Metazoa; Chordata; Aves; Anseriformes; Anatidae
Exons: 5
Source: RefSeq, a predicted model, not a curated record